GAUGAACGCUGGCGGCGUGCCUAAUACAUGCAAGUCGAGCGAACAGACGAGGAGCUUGCUCCUCUGACGUUAGCGGCGGACGGGUGAGUAACACGUGGAUAACCUACCUAUAAGACUGGGAUAACUUCGGGAAGCCGGAGCUAAUACCGGAUAAUAUAUUGAACCGCAUGGUUCAAUAGUGAAAGACGGUUUUGCUGUCACUUAUAGAUGGAUCCGCGCCGCAUCAGCUAGUUGGUAAGGUAACGGCUUACCAAGGCAACGAUGCGUAGCCGACCUGAGAGGGUGAUCGGCCACACUGGAACUGAGACACGGUCCAGACUCCUACGGGAGGCAGCAGUAGGGAAUCUUCCGCAAUGGGCGAAAGCCUGACGGAGCAACGCCGCGUGAGUGAUGAAGGUCUUCGGAUCGUAAAACUCUGUUAUUAGGGAAGAACAAAUGUGUAAGUAACUAUGCACGUCUUGACGGUACCUAAUCAGAAAGCCACGGCUAACUACGUG
RNAcentral lists this ribosomal RNA (497 nucleotides) under uncultured bacterium. Its description in RNAcentral is "partial 16S ribosomal RNA". It matches the Rfam family "Bacterial small subunit ribosomal RNA", at positions 28 to 507 of the family's 1533-position model. The record is from RNAcentral.